Molecule: ribosomal RNA, 253 nt
Filed under: uncultured bacterium
Lineage: Bacteria
Description: partial 16S ribosomal RNA
Rfam family: Bacterial small subunit ribosomal RNA
Source: RNAcentral
UACGCAGGUGGCGAGCGUUGUCCGGAUUUACUGGGCGUAAAGGGAGCGUAGGCGGAUUUUUAAGUGGGAUGUGAAAUACUCGGGCUCAACUUGAGUGCUGCAUUUCAAACUGGAAGUCUAGAGUGCAGGAGAGGAGAAUGGAAUUCCUAGUGUAGCGGUGAAAUGCGUAGAGAUUAGGAAGAACACCAGUGGCGAAGGCGAUUCUCUGGACUGUAACUGACGCUGAGGCUCGAAAGCGUGGGGAGCAAACAGG